UUCGGAGGAGAGAGAAAUCUUUUAGGUGGAUGCCGGUGUAGUCCUUAGCGGCCUGCAAGAGACCUCCGUGCCCCCAGGUGGCUCCUCUGUUCCCCUCCUCUUCACUCCAAUGUCACGCAUUUUCAUUCUCUUUGUUUACCCAGAAAAGCAAUCUAGGUUGUAUAAGCUUGGCACUAUUGAAAACUGGUUUGGGGAGACCUGCCCCUCACAGUAAGGUCACAUCACUUAGUCUCCCAGAGCCUCCUCUUCUGAUCUGUAAAACGGGCAUAACAAUACCGUGCCCUAGAGAGUGUGCCUUUAGGAAUAACUUUCCCCUGGCCGAGAAGUUUCUGGUGUCUCCUCGUGGAGGCCCAAAUACUCCAUGCCUGACUCCCGCGGUUCACCUGUUUGGUUCCACUCCCCAGGAGGCAUCGAAAGGAAGUGGAGACGGGGUUUCAUCAUGUUUGCCAGGCUGCUCUCAAACUCCUGACCUCCAGUGAUCCACCUUCCUCGGCCCCCCAAAGUGCUGGGAUUACAGGCGUGAGCCACUGCACCUGGCCCAAAGUUUGAAAUAUUGCUAGAGACUGUUUGGAGAGGCAAAACCAUUAAGAAAGGGGAGAGGUUGAAGUGUUUUAUGGUCUCCUGCUCUGGCUGCCAAUCUUAAGACAACUUCGAUUUUGGAAGAAAUUUCCAUUCUCUUCUUCUACCGUACGAGAACAAAGGUACAAUUUUGUAGCUAUUCAGGGUAGAAAGAUGUUUUAUCAUUGAAGGAGUGAAUUCUUGGAUGUGUUAAUAUAUCUCCUUUCACAGGUAUGUUGAAGGACAUUUUACUUCUGGCUCUUUUUUUUUUUAGAUGAUGUCUCACUCUGUUACCCAGGCUGGAGCGCAGUGGUGCAGUCUCGGCUCAC
Non-coding RNA from Chlorocebus sabaeus (green monkey), 887 nucleotides. NCBI's taxonomy places the organism in Eukaryota, Metazoa, Chordata, Mammalia, Primates, Cercopithecidae. The record is from RefSeq and is a predicted model, not a curated record.